GCCUACGGCCAUACCAGUCUGAAAGUGCCUGAUUUCGUCAGAUCUCAGAAGCCAUCCAGACUUGGGCCUGGUUAGUACUUGUAUGGGAGCCCAACUAGGAACCUCAGGUGUUAGGAA
This 117-nucleotide ribosomal RNA is filed under the name Pelobates cultripes (western spadefoot toad). Lineage: Eukaryota; Metazoa; Chordata; Amphibia; Anura; Pelobatidae. The record is from RNAcentral.